RNAcentral lists this unclassified non-coding RNA (154 nucleotides) under soil metagenome. RNAcentral describes it as "partial internal transcribed spacer 1". The record is from RNAcentral. RNAcentral also lists the same sequence under 1 other name.
CAGAGUUAUCCAACUCCCAAACCCAUGUGAACUUAUCUCUUUGUUGCCUCGGCGCAAGCUACCCGGGACCUCGCGCCCCGGGCGGCCCGCCGGCGGACAAACCAAAACUCUUGUUAUCUUAGUUGAUUAUCUGAGUGUCUUAUUUAAUAAGUCA